RNAcentral lists this ribosomal RNA (683 nucleotides) under uncultured bacterium. RNAcentral describes it as "bacterial SSU rRNA". It matches the Rfam family "Bacterial small subunit ribosomal RNA", at positions 87 to 749 of the family's 1533-position model. The record is from RNAcentral.
AGUAAGAAGUGGCGCACGGGUGAAGUAACACGUAGGUAAUCUACCUUUGGAUGGGGAAUAACAACCGGAAACGGUUGCUAAUACCGCAUAAUGCAGCGGCACCUAAUGGUGACAGUUGUUAAAGCGGGGGAUCGAAAGACCUCGCGUCUGAAGAGGAGCCUGCGGCGGAUUAUCUAGUUGGUAAGGUAAUGGCUUACCAAGGCUACAAUCCGUAACCGGCCUGAGAGGGCGGUCGGUCACACUGACACUGACAUACGGGUCAGACUCCUACGGGAGGCAGCAGUCGGGAAUUUUGGGCAAUGGGCGAAAGCCUGACCCAGCAACGCCGCGUGAAGGAUGAAAUCCCUCGGGAUGUAAACUUCUCAAGAACGGGAAGAAUAAGCGAGAGUUAAUAUCUUUCGUGAUGACGGUACCGUUUGUAAGCUCCGGCUAACUCCGUGCCAGCAGCCGCGGUAAUACGGGGGGAGCAAGCGUUGUUCGGAUUUACUGGGCGUAAAGGGCGCGUAUGCGGUCAGCACAAGUCAGUUGUGAAAUCUCCGAGCUUAACUCGGAAAGGUCAACUGAUACUGUGCGACUAGAGUGCACAAGGGGCAACUGGAAUUCUUGGUGUAUCGGUGAAAUGCGUAUAUAUCAAGAGGAACACCUGCGGCGAAGGCGGGUUGCUGGGCUGACACUGACGCUGA